AGCCCCUUAGUUUAAGCUUAAAACAAUAAUUUUGUAAAUUAUAUAUAAAUAAAAAAUUUAGGGGCAU
This 67-nucleotide transfer RNA is filed under the name Pseudomyrmex concolor. RNAcentral describes it as "tRNA-Thr". It matches the Rfam family "tRNA". Rfam says of the family: Transfer RNA (tRNA) molecules are approximately 80 nucleotides in length. Their secondary structure includes four short double-helical elements and three loops (D, anti-codon, and T loops). Lineage: Eukaryota; Metazoa; Arthropoda; Insecta; Hymenoptera; Formicidae. The record is from RNAcentral.